GUACUGUAGUGGGAACGCAACCUGCCUGCUGACACAAAGGCUGUGGGUUCGAACCCCAGUGCCU
Molecule: transfer RNA, 64 nt
Filed under: Geminigera cryophila
Lineage: Eukaryota; Cryptophyceae; Pyrenomonadales; Geminigeraceae
Source: RNAcentral